UAUGGCCACAUCAUGUUUGAACACAGGUUCCUGUACAAUCACUAGAGUUAAGUAAUGUCAAGCCUGGUCAGUACCUAGAUGGGUGACCGCUUGGGAAAACCAGAUGCUGUAAG
This is a non-coding RNA of Acanthosepion pharaonis, 113 nucleotides long. The record is from the annotation of a GenBank genome assembly. Lineage: Eukaryota; Metazoa; Mollusca; Cephalopoda; Sepiida; Sepiidae.